Aedes albopictus (Asian tiger mosquito) is the source of this 2064-nucleotide long non-coding RNA. RefSeq lists it as uncharacterized. NCBI's taxonomy places the organism in Eukaryota, Metazoa, Arthropoda, Insecta, Diptera, Culicidae. The transcript has 3 exons. The record is from RefSeq and is a predicted model, not a curated record.
UACCAUGACGGUACCGUCGCUUAAGCGUUUGUUCGUUUUUAUAGGUUCAAAUAAGGAAUGUAUGAAUAGAAUUUUGGGUUGAAAUGUUUUGCUAACUGCCCAGUAAUUGGUAGAAUUCUCAGAUUUCUCUGAGGUUAUAAUAAGUUAUGAAAAGAAAAAAAAAAUAUUUCCAAAUAUUUUUGGAGUCAGUCGGUUAUUUUGGUUGGUAGGAUUAAGUGAAGUUUCCAAAUAUUUUUGGAGUUAAUUGGAGUCUUAGUUAGUUAGAAGUAGGUUAGCAAAAAUAUAUGGGAGUUGGCAAAACAUAGGUUUGAUACUGGAUUAGAAUUAUGAAUGGAAUUUAUUGUAAAGAGAUUAAGACACAGAACAAAAUUGUAGGAAUAAGUUUGUUUUAGAAUACAAGUAAAUGAAUCCAAGCAUAUAUUAAUUUAAAUAAUAUAAAAAACUAUGUAUAAUAAAAAUUUUGAAAUAGAAAUUUCAAAAUUUUUAUUUUUGUUAGCAUGGACGAGAAUGUAAUGCUAUAAUAAUUCAUGUUCCAAUUUGUACACCACUUUAAUAUUAUUUGCCAAGACUAAUUCUCAAUCUCGUUUUGUGCAUUGGAAAAGAACCAACAGAGCGAAAAGCUUAUCAUGAGCACAAACCCUUAGGCACUCUUCUUUACUCGAUGGAUCGCUUCUGAUCGUUUUCGGUAAAAUCAGUUUUAAAUAUUUUUUGCUCCACUCUCUCUCUCUUGAGUUCCAAGAUGAUGAGCGCCUACCUGAUAUUUGCAUAUUGCGCUUCUAAUUUCUGCAUAGGGAAUGCUGGGUUAGUAGCUGCUAUUGAACGUUAAACCUAUAGAAAUUCUUUGUUCAAAUUUAUUGCGCAGUAGAGUUUUAAACAAUGACUAGGGCGAUGAGUCCUCUGAAAGAAGAACAUCACUUGAGUCUUGAUCUACGAUCAGUGCGGAUGUGCCUAACUGAAAGUUAAUACGACGCUAGUGGAAGUUAUUAAGAAUUCGAUAGUGAUAAUUUGAGAACGUUAUUAAUCCGGAAGUGCGAAGAUUACACAAAUUAAGAAUCGAAUAGUGAGCCUUCCGAGAUUGUUAUCACACCUGAUUGUGUGCUGUAAUUAAUUUACUGUGGUAAAUUUUGAGGAAUAACCCUACAACGUGGGGUUUUUGUUUGGGCUCGGACCAUUGACAACCGCCAACUGUCGUCGACCACGUGCAACUAGUCCAGGCGUAUCCCGAUGCGCCGCUGCGGUGGCUCGUGAGUACUCACUGCAGUGUCGUUCUAUCCCAGAAUCCGACCGAGUGCUAGAACGCAACCAAACUGCUCGAUAUCCGCCGAGGACUCAAUUUUGAAUUUCGGUGUCAAGCCAAAACGAUCACCGACCAGCACCCGACGUCCCUACAGUGGUGCUAGGCGUCGUCAUCCCGAGGCGCAAGAGAGCUUUGGACACGCGUCGUGAGAGUACUUUGCGGUCGCUGGACAAAUCCAACCAAACGAAAGUGGUAAGUUGCACCCAACUACGUUGGUCGAAUCACCCCUCGGUCACGCGGAGAGCCUGAGCACGAGAGCGAAGAGCAUCGAGGUGAAGCCACGUCGGGGCCCCGAUCAACGCGUCGUUGGAACCUGCCGGCAAGUACUUGCAUGCAUGAAGAGAGAAGAGUAGCUUUAAGAUAGGUAGCCUAGGGAGAUCGAUUGUGCAAGGAAUAUUGGAACAAUAAAGCUAUUUUUAAACCUUGCACUGGUUCCUACAUAGGCACAGCUAGGCGAUAUUUUGCGCUGAUUUGAAAUCUCUACUGAAGUGAUUUGAAAUCGGUUUUUUUUUCGUAACUUUUAGCUCCAUAUUUUAUGAAUUGAGGGGGCCAAAGGCCAAAGAGUUUUUUGAGGUUUACACGGGAGGGAUUCGAAAGGUAAGUCGAGUCGUCAUUUGGUAGCCAAGAAUAGCUGGUGUGUUUGAGCAACUAUUAAAACUCGCCCUAGAAGAGGGUCUCAAAGCCGGGACCCAAACAGCAUCAGCAGCCUUCCUCGUUGGGGAAGUGGCGCUUAAGCUGCUGUUUGUGAUAAGCUCGAGCAGAUUCGU